RNAcentral lists this ribosomal RNA (500 nucleotides) under uncultured bacterium. RNAcentral describes it as "partial 16S ribosomal RNA". It matches the Rfam family "Bacterial small subunit ribosomal RNA", at positions 30 to 523 of the family's 1533-position model. The record is from RNAcentral.
AUUGAACGCUGGCGGCAGGCCUAACACAUGCAAGUCGAGCGGUAGAGAGAAGCUUGCUUCUCUUGAGAGCGGCGGACGGGUGAGUAAUGCCUAGGAAUCUGCCUGGUAGUGGGGGAUAACGUUCGGAAACGGACGCUAAUACCGCAUACGUCCUACGGGAGAAAGCAGGGGACCUUCGGGCCUUGCGCUAUCAGAUGAGCCUAGGUCGGAUUAGCUAGUUGGUGAGGUAAUGGCUCACCAAGGCGACGAUCCGUAACUGGUCUGAGAGGAUGAUCAGUCACACUGGAACUGAGACACGGUCCAGACUCCUACGGGAGGCAGCAGUGGGGAAUAUUGGACAAUGGGCGAAAGCCUGAUCCAGCCAUGCCGCGUGUGUGAAGAAGGUCUUCGGAUUGUAAAGCACUUUAAGUUGGGAGGAAGGGUUGUAGAUUAAUACUCUGCAAUUUUGACGUUACCGACAGAAUAAGCACCGGCUAACUCUGUGCCAGCCGCCGCGAAAA